Non-coding RNA from Pelobates cultripes (western spadefoot toad), 239 nucleotides. Lineage: Eukaryota; Metazoa; Chordata; Amphibia; Anura; Pelobatidae. The record is from the annotation of a GenBank genome assembly.
AGCUUAAUGUACAAUAUACAGCUUAAUGUACGGUAUACAGCUUAAUGUGCGGUAUACAGCUUAAUGUACAAUAUACAGCUUAAUGUACAAUAUACAGCUUAAUGUAUAAUAUACAGCUUAAUGUGCGGUAUACAGCUUAAUGUAUAAUAUACAGCUUAAUGUGCGGUUUACAGCUUAAUGUACAAUACACAGCUUAAUGUGCGGUAUACAGCUUAAUGUACAAUAUACAGCUUAAUGUA